Molecule: ribosomal RNA, 393 nt
Filed under: uncultured bacterium
Lineage: Bacteria
Description: partial 16S ribosomal RNA
Rfam family: Bacterial small subunit ribosomal RNA
Source: RNAcentral
AUACGGAGGAUGCAAGCGUUAUCCGGAUUUAUUGGGUUUAAAGGGUGCGUAGGCGGUUUGCUAAGCGGGAGGUGAAAUGCCGGCGCUCAACGUCGGAAGUGCCUCCCGAACUGGUGGACUGGAAUGACUCUGCCGUGGGAGGAAUGUGUAGUGUAGCGGGGAAAUGCUUAGAGAUUACACAGAACACCGAUUGCGAAGGCAUCUCACGAAGGGUUGAUUGACGCUGAGGCACGAAAGCGUGGGGAUCAAACAGGAUUAGAUACCCUGGUAGUCCACGCAGUAAACGAUGAUGGCUAACCGCUGGUUUAUUCGGAUCAGUGGCCAAGCGAAAGCGAUAAGCCAUCCACCUGGGGAGUACGACCGCAAGGUUGAAACUCAAAGGAAUUGACGGGG